CCUACGGGCGGCUGCAGUGGGGAAUAUUGGACAAUGGGCGAAAGCCUGAUCCAGCCAUGCCGCGUGUGUGAAGAAGGCCUUCGGGUUGUAAAGCACUUUCAGUGGGGAAGAAAGCCUUGGGGCUAAUACCCUCGAGGAAGGACAUCACCCACAGAAGAAGCACCGGCUAACUCCGUGCCAGCAGCCGCGGUAAUACGGAGGGUGCGAGCGUUAAUCGGAAUUACUGGGCGUAAAGCGCGCGUAGGCGGUCUGAUAAGCCGGUUGUGAAAGCCCCGGGCUCAACCUGGGAACGGCAUCCGGAACUGUCAGGCUAGAGUGCAGGAGAGGAAGGUAGAAUUCCCGGUGUAGCGGUGAAAUGCGUAGAGAUCGGGAGGAAUACCAGUGGCGAAGGCGGCCUUCUGGACUGACACUGACGCUGAGGUGCGAAAGCGUGGGUAGCAAACAGGAGUAGAUACCCGAGUAGUC
Molecule: ribosomal RNA, 465 nt
Filed under: Vreelandella stevensii
Lineage: Bacteria; Pseudomonadati; Pseudomonadota; Gammaproteobacteria; Oceanospirillales; Halomonadaceae
Description: partial 16S ribosomal RNA
Rfam family: Bacterial small subunit ribosomal RNA
Source: RNAcentral